CACGUAGUUAGCCGGAGCUUCUUCUGCAGGUACCGUCGUUCUCUUCCCUGCUGAAAGCGGUUUACAACCCGAAGGCCUUCGUCCCGCGCGCGGCGUUGCUGCGUCAGGCUUUCGCCCAUUGCGCAAAAUUCCCCACUGCUGCCUCCCGUAGGAGUCUGGGCCGUAUCUCAGUCCCAAUGUGGCCGGUCGACCUCUCAGUCCGGCUACCCAUCGCGGGCUAGGUGGGCCGUUACCCCGCCUACUACCUAAUGGGCCGCGACCCCAUCCCGCACCGUCGGGGCUUUCCCGCCCCCCUCAUGCGGAGGGGGCGGAGUAUCCGGGUAUUAGCUGCCGUUUCCAGCAGUUAUCCCGGGGUGCGGGGCAGGUUGGUCACGUGUUACUCACCCGUUCGCCACUCUAUAUCCGCCCGGAGGCGGUUUAAUCGUUCGACUUGCAUGUGUUAAGCACGCCGCCAGCGUUCAUCCUGACGCCGAGGACUCAAAACUCU
This 487-nucleotide ribosomal RNA is filed under the name uncultured Coriobacteriaceae bacterium. RNAcentral's name for it is "partial 16S ribosomal RNA". The record is from RNAcentral. Lineage: Bacteria; Bacillati; Actinomycetota; Coriobacteriia; Coriobacteriales; Coriobacteriaceae.